Molecule: RNA transcript, 2345 nt
Organism: Rhineura floridana
Lineage: Eukaryota; Metazoa; Chordata; Lepidosauria; Squamata; Rhineuridae
Gene: QRSL1
Gene name: glutaminyl-tRNA amidotransferase subunit QRSL1
Exons: 13
Source: RefSeq, a predicted model, not a curated record
CCCGGUUCUCCCCGUCAUCCAAUUCCUCUGCGGACACCGAUUCGCAUGCUCUGACCCCCAGACCAACAGGAACACAGUAUCAUUCUAACCCCAAAGGAGAUUGAGCCAAUCAGAGAUCUCGAUGUUAAAAUGCUCUCUUCAAGAUGGCAGCGCCCUUGAGUUUGUUCAUACACUACCGGUAACAGGGGCUAAUACGAAGGAAGUUUCGGGGUCAUUAGACACUUGUAUGCCGGGUAUGCAGAAAAAAAUGCUACGAGCUUCGCUCCGAGAGAUUUCUGCAGCACUAAGGGAAGGCCAAGUGAGUCCAACAGAGCUUUGUCAGAAAUGUCUCUCCUUAAUAAAAGCCACCAGAUUUCUUAAUGCUUAUAUUACUGUAGCAGAAGAUAUAGCCUUAAAACAGGCUGAGGCAUCGAAGAAAAGAUACAGGCAAGGUCAGACAUUGGGGGAUUUAGAUGGAAUUCCUUUUGCGGUGAAAGACAACUUCAGCACAGCUGGUGUAGAAACAACAUGUGCAUCCAAUAUGCUGAAAGGUGAGGUGGACGGUCACCAGAGCCUUUCUGGUGGAGGCGGAUGUUUAUGGAACAAUCAUCUUGGAGAGGCUCACUUGGUUGUCUGUUUGGUAUCAGGUUAUAUCCCCCCUUACAAUGCAACGGUAGUUCAAAAAUUGCUGGAUCAAGGAGCCGUGCUUGUUGGAAAAACAAACCUAGAUGAAUUUGCCAUGGGCUCUGGAAGUACAGAUGGAGCAUUUGGACCUGUGAGAAACCCCUGGAGUUACUCACGGCAGUACAGAGAAAAGUGUGUGCAAAACUUCAGUGCUCAAAAUGAAGACACCAGCUGGUUGAUAACGGGAGGAAGCUCUGGAGGCAGCGCUGCUGCCAUAUCGUCUUUCACAUGCUGUGUGGCACUGGGGUCUGAUACAGGAGGAUCUACAAGAAAUCCAGCCUCACACUGUGGAGUUGUUGGUUUGAAACCAACGUAUGGCCUGGUUUCCCGUCAUGGUCUCAUUCCACUUGUGAACUCUAUGGACGUGCCAGGCAUUUUAACCAGAUGUGUGGACGAUGCAGCCACUGUGUUAGGUGUUCUUGGUGGCCAUGAUGCAAAAGAUUCAACCACAGUGCAGGACUCCUUUCAUCCAUUUCAGCUACCCAGUUUGACAGAUAUGAAGAAUGUUUGCAUAGGGAUACCAAAGGAAUAUAAUAUACCCGGAUUGUCUAGUGAAACUCUGGCAGUGUGGUCCAAGGCAGCCAACCUUUUUGAGAAAGCUGGCGCCAAAGUGAUUGACGUGAGCCUGCCCCAUACCUGUUAUUCCAUUGUCUGUUACCAUGUGCUGUGCGCAGCAGAAGUAGCAUCAAACAUGGCCCGAUUCGAUGGCCUGGAGUACGGACAUCGCAGCUGUGCUGACAAGUCCACCGAAGCCUUGUAUGCAGCAACACGCCGGGAAGGCUUUAAUGAUGUUGUAAGGGGAAGGAUUCUAUCAGGAAACUACUUCUUGCUAAAACAGAACUAUGAGAAUUAUUUCAUCAAAGCCCAGAAAGUGAGAAGACUUAUUGCCACUGAUUUUGCAAAACUCUUCCGUUCUGGUGUUGAUAUUUUGCUCACUCCAACUACUCUGAGCCAUACAGUGCCAUAUGUAGAGUUUAUGAAAGAAGACAACAGAACCCGCAGCACCCAGGAUGACAUUUUCACUCAGGCUGCCAACAUGGCUGGGCUGCCAGCUAUAAAUGUUCCUUCUGCACUCUCAGAGAAAGGCUUACCAAUUGGGUUGCAGUUUAUUGGCCGUGCAUUCCAUGAGGCACAGCUUCUUGCCAUAGCCAAAUGGUUUGAAAAGCAAGUGCAGUUCCCUGUGUUACAGCUGCAAGGCAUAAUGGAUAAUCUUGAUACUGUGUCUUACCAGGAGAAAUCAGCAUUUUUUUCAUGAAGUGUAACUGUAGGGUUUCACUAUGCUUUGAAAAUAGUUGUGAAGGAAGCCCAAAGCUCUGUGUUAGAAAGCUUUGAACACAAUUUAUGUUUGAAUGAUACUCUUCUAGCACACAGACUGAAAUCAUCCAGAGUUUUUCCUGUGCAAUUAAAUUGUCAUGAGGUUUGGAACUGUAUCACAGUUUGUAUACAUUAUUAUAAAUGGAAGGCUAAUAACUAAAUUGCAAAGCAAAUGCACCAACAGAUAAGACAAAAUAGUUGCAGAUUAUACAUAUUGAUCUUUUGUUCAUCAUAGAAAAGUGCAAGUCAGAUGGCGACAAGACAUAUGCAAAGUUACAGUAGUGUCAAGAGCCAAGAGGUUUUGCCUGUGCCCCUUCCACAGGAUACCACAUGAUCCUAUGCAAUGUAUGAAAGACUCCAUGUCAGAU